Molecule: ribosomal RNA, 339 nt
Filed under: Triticum aestivum (bread wheat)
Lineage: Eukaryota; Viridiplantae; Streptophyta; Magnoliopsida; Poales; Poaceae
Description: partial small subunit ribosomal RNA
Source: RNAcentral
AUGGAUAGCACGCCCUGCCCUAUAAUGAGCUGGAACGUUAGAGGCUUAAACACGCCGGCUCGACGCUCUGUAGUUUGUGAGGCUGUGAGCACGCAUAGGCUAGCUAUUCUAUGUCUCCAGGAGACAAAGAUCGAGAACUGGUCGCCAACGAUAGCAAAGGAAAUCGGAGGGAGUAGACUAGAUGAUUGCGUCGUGCUACCUGCCAUGGGAACACGAGGAGGAGUCGCCAUUUUCUGGAACUCCGACACUGUCUUCGUUCAAACCCACGCGAUAGUCCAGUUCUCCAUCACGGCUAAAGUUAGUAUAAUCGGAGCCCAGGACUACUUCUGGCUGACAACG